Molecule: ribosomal RNA, 253 nt
Filed under: uncultured bacterium
Lineage: Bacteria
Description: partial 16S ribosomal RNA
Rfam family: Bacterial small subunit ribosomal RNA
Source: RNAcentral
UACAGAGGCGGCAAGCGUUGUCCGGAUUUAUUGGGUUUAAAGGGUGCGUAGGCGGCUUUGUAAGUCAGUGGUGAAAUAUGGCAGCUCAACUGUCAGGGUGCCAUUGAUACUGCGGAGCUUGAGUACAGAUGAGGUAGGCGGAAUUGACGGUGUAGCGGUGAAAUGCUUAGAUAUCGUCAAGAACACCGAUAGCGAAGGCAGCUUACUGGGCUGUAACUGACGCUGAGGCACGAAAGUGUGGGGAUCAAACAGG